RNAcentral lists this ribosomal RNA (504 nucleotides) under uncultured bacterium. RNAcentral's name for it is "partial 16S ribosomal RNA". It matches the Rfam family "Bacterial small subunit ribosomal RNA", at positions 28 to 523 of the family's 1533-position model. The record is from RNAcentral.
GAUGAACGCUAGCGGCAGGCUUAAUACAUGCAAGUCGUGGGGCAGCAGGACUGUAGCAAUACAGUUGCUGGCGACCGGCAAACGGGUGCGGAACACGUACGCAAUCUACCCAGAACUGGUGAAUAGCCCUCCGAAAGGAGGAUUAAUACACCGUAAUAUUAUAAAGUGGCAUCACUUAAUAAUUAAAGCUCCGGCGGUUUUGGAUGAGCGUGCGGCCCAUUAGGUAGUUGGUUGAGGUAAUGGCUCACCAAGCCUGCGAUGGGUAACUGGUGUGAGAGCACGACCAGUGACACGGGCACUGAGACCCGGGCCCGACUCCUACGGGAGGCAGCAGUAAGGAAUAUUGGUCAAUGGACGCAAGUCUGAACCAGCCAUGCCGCGUGGAGGAUGAAGGCCCUCUGGGUUGUAAACUUCUUUUAUGGGGGACAAAAUCACUUAUUCUUAAGUGUCUGACGGUACCCCAGGAAUAAGCACCGGCUAACUCCGUGCCAGCCGCCGCCGUAA